Molecule: ribosomal RNA, 253 nt
Filed under: uncultured bacterium
Lineage: Bacteria
Description: partial 16S ribosomal RNA
Rfam family: Bacterial small subunit ribosomal RNA
Source: RNAcentral
GACGAACCGUGCGAACGUUGUUCGGAUUCACUGGGCUUAAAGGGCGCGUAGGCGGGCGGUCAAGUCAGGGGUGAAAUCUUUCGGCCUAACCGGAAAAGGGCCUCUGAUACUGGCCGUCUCGAGGGAGGUAGGGGCAUGCGGAACUUCCGGUGGAGCGGUGAAAUGCGUAGAUAUCGGAAGGAACGCCGGUGGCGAAAGCGGCGUGCUGGACCUCUUCUGACGCUGGGGCGCGAAAGCCAGGGGAGCGAACGGG